RNAcentral lists this small RNA (143 nucleotides) under Bacteroides uniformis dnLKV2. Its description in RNAcentral is "GibS sRNA". It matches the Rfam family "GibS sRNA". Rfam says of the family: A small RNA with a conserved region in the 5' region in gene clusters, related to carbon metabolism in Bacteroidetes. Lineage: Bacteria; Pseudomonadati; Bacteroidota; Bacteroidia; Bacteroidales; Bacteroidaceae. The record is from Rfam by way of RNAcentral.
GUGUUUUUCAUAGUAUUAGAUAUAAGAUUAAUUAAAAGAGACGUACCCGCUUGUGAUAAGUAAGUACAUCAAAAACAGAAGCGUCUGUUUGAUUGAUAAAUGUGUAAGGAGCAUCGGUUUACCAGAGCCGAUGCUUUUUUUUA